Molecule: small nucleolar RNA, 138 nt
Organism: Ornithorhynchus anatinus (platypus)
Lineage: Eukaryota; Metazoa; Chordata; Mammalia; Monotremata; Ornithorhynchidae
Source: RefSeq, a predicted model, not a curated record
CACCUCUGAAGGUCGCACCUGGAGAGUUGCCGGUACUCUACCAGUCUCGGCUACGGGAGGGAGAGCCAAGCAGAGACAUUCCCAUUCCAUUCCUAGCUUGGGUAGUGGUUAGCGAGUGGCAGGCAAUCUGCUACAAGU